CAUGGAGGGUGAGAAUCCCGUUCAUGGUUAAUCUUAAGGAUGCUUUACGAUACGUUUUCCAAGAGUCGAGUUGUUUGGGAUUGCAGCUCAAAAUGGGAGGUAAAUUUCUCCUAAAGCUAAAUAUUGGCGAGAGACCGAUAGCAAACAAGUACCGUGAGGGAAAGAUGAAAAGAACUUUGAAAAGAGAGUUAAAUAGUACGUGAAAUUGUUGGAAAGGAAACGAUUAAAGUCAGUCAUACCAACGGGAAAUCAACCUUUUGAGUUUGGUCUUGUGGGUUUGAAGAGUUUCAAAGCCUUCCGAUUUGUGAGAUUGGGAUCUCUUGGUGCACUUUUUCGUACGGUUAGUCAACAUCGGUUUUAAUCAUUAUAAAAUGGUUGAAGGAAUGUAACUUUGAUUUCGAUCGAGGUAUUAUAGCCUUUGACAGAUGUAAUGAUCAAGACCGAGGAUUGCAACGGAUACCCUUCAGGGCUAUUCGUCUGAUCUUUGGUACUUGUCUUUAGUAUCGGAAGCUUGCUGACGAUAUUAGGGUUCACGGGUCAAAGGUUGGAACGGAUUAAAUUCGUUAAGGAUGUUGACGUAAUGG
This 584-nucleotide ribosomal RNA is filed under the name uncultured Funneliformis. Its description in RNAcentral is "LSU rRNA". It matches the Rfam family "Eukaryotic large subunit ribosomal RNA", at positions 204 to 637 of the family's 3401-position model. Lineage: Eukaryota; Fungi; Glomeromycota; Glomeromycetes; Glomerales; Glomeraceae. The record is from RNAcentral.